UUUUUAGUUAUAUAUCUAUCAUUAAAAGUGAAGGGCUGGAGAUUUCACAACCAGCACUUGAUCCUCAACUUUCUGAAAGGUCUUGCUGUGGAGAUUUCACAACCAGCUCUGGAGAUUUUUCAGUUACUUACUGUGCUUAGAACUGGGCUUCGACUUCCUUGGUAUCCAAAUUGAAAGGUCCUGCUGAGAGAAAAAAGCUAGAGGACUUGACAAUUGGUCCAGUUCUCACUUUUACAACUGAAUCAAUGUUGUAAAUAGAGAAAAUUAAAUAGAAGAAAAGCAUAGCUUAACGAAAAGCUUUUGAAGAUGAAUAUACUCACAAUCAUGUUCUUACAUACUUUUGGUUGUUGUGCUUGCAAGAAGGACAUACAAAAUUGGAGGUUGUGAUUUGAGCAGCACUGCUCCUCCUUGUACCAGGUGGAUUGAAAUGAUGGCUCAUGUUUUCUCAAGAGCUGCAUGGCAUUGCAUUUGGUAUAUGAUCCAGGUGGAUUUAAAUGAUGGCUCCUGGAUUAGUAAUAUGUAAUUCUAGGAUGGUAGCUUGCUUA
Molecule: non-coding RNA, 545 nt
Organism: Arachis ipaensis
Lineage: Eukaryota; Viridiplantae; Streptophyta; Magnoliopsida; Fabales; Fabaceae
Source: RefSeq, a predicted model, not a curated record